RNAcentral lists this ribosomal RNA (501 nucleotides) under uncultured bacterium. Its description in RNAcentral is "partial 16S ribosomal RNA". It matches the Rfam family "Bacterial small subunit ribosomal RNA", at positions 29 to 523 of the family's 1533-position model. The record is from RNAcentral.
AUUGAACGCUGGCGGCAUGCCUUACACAUGCAAGUCGAACGGCAGCACGGGUGCUUGCACCUGGUGGCGAGUGGCGAACGGGUGAGUAAUACAUCGGAACGUACCUUAUCGUGGGGGAUAACGCAGCGAAAGCUGUGCUAAUACCGCAUACGCCCUGAGGGGGAAAGCGGGGGAUCGCAAGACCUCGCGCGAUUAGAGCGGCCGAUGCCUGAUUAGCUUGUUGGUGGGGUAAAAGCCCACCAAGGCGACGAUCAGUAGCUGGUCUGAGAGGACGAUCAGCCACACUAGGACUGAGACACGGCCCAGACUCCUACGGGAGGCGGCAGUGGGGAAUUUUGGACAAUGGGGGCAACCCUGAUCCAGCAAUGCCGCGUGAGUGAAGAAGGCCUUCGGGUUGUAAAGCUCUUUUGUCAGGGAAGAAACACCGGCUCUAACACAGUCCGGGAAUGACGGUACCUGAAGAAUAAGCACCGGCUAACUACGUGCCAGCCGCCGCCGUAA